Molecule: ribosomal RNA, 737 nt
Filed under: Candidozyma auris
Lineage: Eukaryota; Fungi; Ascomycota; Pichiomycetes; Serinales; Metschnikowiaceae
Description: eukaryotic LSU rRNA
Rfam family: Eukaryotic large subunit ribosomal RNA
Source: RNAcentral
GGUAGAGCAACAGGGAUUGCCUCAGUAACGGCGAGUGAAGCGGCAAGAGCUCAACUUUGGAAUCGCUCCGGCGAGUUGUAGUCUGGAGGUGGCCACCACGAGGUGUUCUAGCAGCAGGCAAGUCCUUUGGAACAAGGCGCCAGCGAGGGUGACAGCCCCGUACCUGCUUUUGCUAGUGCUUCCUGUGGCCCACCGACGAGUCGAGUUGUUUGGGAAUGCAGCUCUAAGUGGGUGGUAAAUUCCAUCUAAGGCUAAAUAUUGGCGAGAGACCGAUAGCGAACAAGUACAGUGAUGGAAAGAUGAAAAGCACUUUGAAAAGAGAGUGAAACAGUACGUGAAAUUGUUGAAAGGGAAGGGCUUGCACCCAGACACGGUUUCGGCCGGGCCAGCAUCAAGUAGAACGGGGUUAAAAGACCUGGGGAAUGUAGCUACCUCUUGGUAGUGUUAUAGCCCUUGGGUGAUGACCCCUGUUUUGCUUGAGGACAGCGGUCUCUAGGAUGCUGGCGCAAUGGUUGCAAGCCACCCGUCUUGAAACACGGACCAAGGAGUCUAACGUCUAUGCGAGUGUACGGGUGAAAAACCCCUGCGCGGAAUGAAAGUAAGAGGUUGGAACCCUCUCGGGGGUGCACAAUCGACCGACCCAGAAGUGCUCGGACGGGUUUGAGUAGGAGCAUAGCUGUUGGGACCCGAAAGAUGGUGAACUAUACCUGAAUAGGGUGAAGCCAGAGGAAACUCUG